UCCCUGGUGGCCCAAUGGUUAAGACUCUGCACUUCCACUGCAGGGGGCAUGGGUUCAAUUCCUGGUUGGGGAG
This 73-nucleotide transfer RNA is filed under the name Bos taurus (domestic cattle). It matches the Rfam family "tRNA". Rfam says of the family: Transfer RNA (tRNA) molecules are approximately 80 nucleotides in length. Their secondary structure includes four short double-helical elements and three loops (D, anti-codon, and T loops). The record is from Rfam by way of RNAcentral. Lineage: Eukaryota; Metazoa; Chordata; Mammalia; Artiodactyla; Bovidae. RNAcentral also lists the same sequence under 1 other name.